CAGAACGGGAGCGCCGGCUGGGCUGACGAGGCCGACAGCAGCCGAGGACGAGGAGAGGCCUCCAGAGAUUUUGCAAAGCUGUACGAACUGGACAGCGACCCCAAAAGGAAGGAGUUCUUGGAUGACCUCUUCACCUUCAUGCAAAAGAGAGGAACCCCGGUCAAUCGAAUCCCCAUCAUGGCCAAGCAGGUCCUGGAUCUGUACAUGCUGUACAAGCUUGUGACGGAGAAAGGAGGCCUGGUGGAGGUCAUCAACAAGAAGAUCUGGAGAGAAAUCACAAAGGGACUGAACCUGCCCACCUCCAUCACCAGCGCAGCGUUCACUCUGCGCACACAGUAAGUCUGCAGAACCUCAGCGGUGAAGGUGAAGCUUCUUUAAUGUCAUAUUUCUUCUUUCCUGAGUGACGACGAUGAAACGUUUUAGUAUCGAGGCUUUUUGAAGAGUGUGCACAUCGUCCACCUCUGCACGUCUUCACAAAGCCUGAUAGUGUGUGUAGGUUCCUUAAACAUGGAGUGGGCGUGCGUGCGUGCGUGCGUGCGUGCGUGCGUGCGUGCGUGCGUGCGUGCGUGGUACAGACGUCGAUAUUAACCCUUGCUUCUGUGUUUGUACACAUGCGAUUUUGUUUCGUCCACUGGGCCACCUCCCCUCUUCACAUUGAAUCCCUCCGAGUGUUAACAACACACACACACACACACACACACACACACACACACACACACACACACACACACACACACACAGCACAUUGAUCCUCAAAGAUUUAUUGAUGUGAUUUGGGUCAGAGUUCACAAUGACUGAGGUGGGCUUUGAUUGACGGGCCUCGACUGAAGCUGAACUGUCUCUCUCUCUCUCUCUGUCUCUCUCUCUCUCUCUGUCUCUCUCU
Labrus bergylta (ballan wrasse) is the source of this 883-nucleotide non-coding RNA. The record is from RefSeq and is a predicted model, not a curated record. Lineage: Eukaryota; Metazoa; Chordata; Actinopteri; Labriformes; Labridae.